RNAcentral lists this ribosomal RNA (464 nucleotides) under uncultured Desulfobulbus sp. RNAcentral describes it as "bacterial SSU rRNA". It matches the Rfam family "Bacterial small subunit ribosomal RNA", at positions 925 to 1382 of the family's 1533-position model. Lineage: Bacteria; Pseudomonadati; Thermodesulfobacteriota; Desulfobulbia; Desulfobulbales; Desulfobulbaceae. The record is from RNAcentral.
ACAAGCGGUGGAGUAUGUGGUUUAAUUCGAUGCAACGCGAAGAACCUUACCUGGUCUUGACAUCCCGGAGACCCUUAGGAAACUAGGGGGUGCUUCCAUCUGGAAGAAUCUGGAGACAGGUGCUGCAUGGCUGUCGUCAGCUCGUGUCGUGAGAUGUUGGGUUAAGUCCCGCAACGAGCGCAACCCUUGCCUUUUAGUUGCCAGCAGUUCGGCUGGGCACUCUAAAGGGACUGCCGGUGUUAAACCGGAGGAAGGUGGGGAUGACGUCAAGUCCUCAUGGCCUUUAUGACCAGGGCUACACACGUACUACAAUGGCCGAUACAAAGGGCAGCGACACUGCGAGGUGAAGCCAAUCCCGUAAAAUCGGUCUCAGUCCGGAUUGGAGUCUGCAACUCGACUCCAUGAAGUUGGAAUCGCUAGUAAUCGUGGAUCAGCAUGCCACGGUGAAUACGUUCCCGGGCCUU